RNAcentral lists this ribosomal RNA (499 nucleotides) under uncultured Glomeromycotina. RNAcentral's name for it is "SSU rRNA". It matches the Rfam family "Eukaryotic small subunit ribosomal RNA", at positions 591 to 1092 of the family's 1831-position model. The record is from RNAcentral. Lineage: Eukaryota; Fungi; Glomeromycota.
CCAAUAGCGUAUAUUAAAGUUGUUGCAGUUAAAAAGCUCGUAGUUGAAUUUCGGGAUCAAUACGUCGGUCGUGCUUCGGUACGUACUGGCGUCAUUGAUUUCUCCCUUCUGACGAACCAUGAUGUCAUUAACUUGGUGUCAUGGGAAAUCAGGACUGUUACUUUGAAAAAAUUAGAGUGUUUAAAGCAGGCUCACGCUUGAAUACAUUAGCAUGGAAUAAUGAAAUAGGACGUUCGAUCCUAUUUUGUUGGUUUUUAGGAUCAACGUAAUGAUUAAUAGGGAUAGUUGGGGGCAUUAGUAUUCAAUUGUCAGAGGUGAAAUUCUUGGAUUUAUUGAAGACUAACUACUGCGAAAGCAUUUGCCAAGGAUGUUUUCAUUAAUCAAGAACGAAAGUUAGGGGAUCGAAGACGAUCAGAUACCGUCGUAGUCUUAACCAUAAACUAUGCCGACUAGGGAUCGGAUGAUGUUAAUUUUUUAAUGACUCAUUCGGCGCCUUACG